CGUGUAGGCGGCUUGGCAAGUCGGGUGUGAAAGCCCGUGGGCUCCAACCUAGGAAGUGCACUCGAAACUGCUUCGCUUGAGGGUCGGAGAGGAAAGCGGAAUUCUCGGUGUAGAGGUGAAAUUCGUAGAUAUCGAGAGGAACAUCGGUGGCGAAGGCGGCUUUCUGGACGGAUUUCUGACGCUGAGACGCGAAAGCGUGGGAGCAAACGA
Molecule: ribosomal RNA, 210 nt
Filed under: uncultured delta proteobacterium
Lineage: Bacteria; Deltaproteobacteria
Description: partial 16S ribosomal RNA
Rfam family: Bacterial small subunit ribosomal RNA
Source: RNAcentral